RNAcentral lists this ribosomal RNA (253 nucleotides) under uncultured bacterium. RNAcentral describes it as "partial 16S ribosomal RNA". It matches the Rfam family "Bacterial small subunit ribosomal RNA", at positions 524 to 776 of the family's 1533-position model. The record is from RNAcentral.
UACAGAGGUCCCAAGCGUUGUUCGGAUUCAUUGGGCGGAAAGGGUGCGUAGGCGGCGCGGUAAGUCGGGUGUGAAAUCUCGGGGCUUAACUCCGAAACUGCAUUCGAUACUGCCGUGCUUGAGGACUGGAGAGGAGACUGGAAUUUACGGUGUAGCGGUGAAAUGCGUAGAUAUCGAGAGGAACACCUGCGGCGAAGGCGGGUUGCUGGGCUGAUACUGACGCUGAUGCGCGAAAGCCAGGGGAGCGAACGGG